RNAcentral lists this long non-coding RNA (409 nucleotides) under Nicotiana benthamiana. RNAcentral's name for it is "long non-coding RNA (NBEN_LNC013501)". Lineage: Eukaryota; Viridiplantae; Streptophyta; Magnoliopsida; Solanales; Solanaceae. The record is from RNAcentral.
GCAUGUUGACCGGCUUGUAGAUAAUGGGAAAGAGUUAGCAUCAGAUAAGGGUAAUCAACUGUUUUCAAAAAUCAAUACUCAAAAUAGUGCAGAAACUUUGCCGGAUUCAUGAAAAAUAUAAAAGAGUUUGUUUUUCAAAUUUUGGUUUUGACAAAUUUGCCCGAACUACGCCAGUUUGAUUAUCACCGGACGUGAGAUACGUAGGCAUCCUCCAUCGGGUCCAACUUCCCUUUUUCAAAACUAACCAAAAACAAAAAAUUUUGAUCUUCGUCACAAAUAAGUAGGGUGAUCCCAUUCUUGCUUAAAAUAAGCAGAAUGUCCCCAAAAAAGCGACGGAAGGCUGUUUAUGCAAGAACAACCAUCUUGAUUCAUUUCUAACGGUUGGCUGGCACAGCCUCAAAAUCUUCUC